UGGACGAAAGUCUGAUGGAGCAACGCCGCGUGAACGAUGAAGGCUUUCGGGUCGUAUAGUUCUGUUGUAAGGGAAGAACAAGUGCUGCCUGCAAUGGCAACACCUUGACGGUUCCUUGCGAGAAAGCCACUGCUGACUACGUUCCAAAAGCCGCGGUAAUACGUAGGUGGCAAGCGUUGUCCGGAAUUAUUGGGCGUAAAGCGCGCGCAGGCGGCCUUCUUAGUUCGAUGUGAAAGCCCCCGGCUCAACCGGGGAGGGCCAUUGGAAACUGGGAGGCUUGAGUAUAGGAGAGAAGAGUGGAAUUCCACGUGUAGCGGUGAAAUGCGUAGAGAUGUGGAGGAACACCAGUGGCGAAGGCGACUCUUUGGCCUAUAACUGACGCUGAGGCGCGAAAGCGUGGGGAGCAAACAG
Molecule: ribosomal RNA, 411 nt
Filed under: Exiguobacterium sp. B1
Lineage: Bacteria; Bacillati; Bacillota; Bacilli; Caryophanales
Description: bacterial SSU rRNA
Rfam family: Bacterial small subunit ribosomal RNA
Source: RNAcentral